AUUUCCAGUUAGUUGCUCUUUGCUAUUUGGCUACUUCGGAUUUAUCUGUCAACCACUCACUCCUUAGUUCGCUUGCUUCAGGUGCAUUAUUGUUACUGGACAGCGAACAAAACCACAUUCAGGAACCUAAAUGUGGAACAUCCAUCUCCUGAUUGGACUCAACAUAGAGUAAGGCUAUUUCAGCGCCAAACAGAGGAAUAUGAAGAAGCCAAGCGUCUUGCCAGGCAGUACCUGGAAGAUUCCCAAGCCGAGAGUGAGAGAGAGGUGACCAAACAAAAGGUUAAGAACAAUAAGCGGUACCUGUCCAGCUCUGAUGAUGAAGCAGGUCCAUGCUCUACUGAGAGAACGAGAGUUCCCAUGGCAAAGAGAAUGCUGUUGCCGAUAGAACCAUUCAGCAGAGAUG
Molecule: long non-coding RNA, 403 nt
Organism: Nothobranchius furzeri (turquoise killifish)
Lineage: Eukaryota; Metazoa; Chordata; Actinopteri; Cyprinodontiformes; Nothobranchiidae
Source: RefSeq, a predicted model, not a curated record